This is a non-coding RNA of Macaca mulatta (Rhesus monkey), 329 nucleotides long. The record is from RefSeq and is a predicted model, not a curated record. Lineage: Eukaryota; Metazoa; Chordata; Mammalia; Primates; Cercopithecidae.
AGGGGGGGAAGCGAAGCCCUAAGAUGGGCGGAGAGAAGCAGAUGUGGAGGUGAUGGCGGAGACCCAGAUAUAAGCAGGUCAGACAGGAAAAGAAAGAAGGUGAAACAAGCAGGGAGUCUCGCCGAUCUGAGGGUGCAGGAGGGUGGAAUCCUGCCUCGGAGUGGAGGCCUCCUCUGCCGCGGUGAGGCACGUGCUUCCGAACCUGUGAUCACUGUCUAACCAGUCAGUGAAGCGUGGAAACGAAACUGCAAACAUUCCCUGCUCUCUGAUUCAGGAGAGUCACUCUGGAGGCCUCUGUGCUGGCACAGCAAUAAAGAGUUGGCACCACA